GACGAACGCUGGCGGCGUGCUUAACACAUGCAAGUCGAACGGAAAGGCCCCUUCGGGGGUGCUCGAGUGGCGAACGGGUGAGUAACACGUGGGUGAUCUGCCCUGCACUUUGGGAUAAGCCUGGGAAACUGGGUCUAAUACCGGAUAGGACUACGCACUGCAUGGUGUGUGGUGGAAAGCGUUUGCGGUGUGGGAUGGGCCCGCGGCCUAUCAGCUUGUUGGUGGGGUGAUGGCCUACCAAGGCGACGACGGGUAGCCGGCCUGAGAGGGUGUCCGGCCACACUGGGACUGAGAUACGGCCCAGACUCCUACGGGAGGCAGCAGUGGGGAAUAUUGCACAAUGGGCGCAAGCCUGAUGCAGCGACGCCGCGUGAGGGAUGACGGCCUUCGGGUUGUAAACCUCUUUCAAUAGGGACGAAGCGGAAGUGACGGUACCUAUAGAAGAAGCACCGGCCAACUACGUGCCAGCAGCCGCGGUAAUACGUAGGGUGCGAGCGUUGUCCGGAAUUACUGGGCGUAAAGAGCUCGUAGGUGGUUUGUCGCGUUGUUCGUGAAAACUCACAGCUUAACUGUGGGCGUGCGGGCGAUACGGGCAGACUGGAGUACUGCAGGGGAGACUGGAAUUCCUGGUGUAGCGGUGGAAUGCGCAGAUAUCAGGAGGAACACCGGUGGCGAAGGCGGGUCUCUGGGCAGUAACUGACGCUGAGGAGCGAAAGCGUGGGGAGCGAACAGGAUUAGAUACCCUGGUAGUCCACGCCGUAAACGGUGGGUACUAGGUGUGGGUUUCCUUCCUUGGGAUCCGUGCCGUAGCUAACGCAUUAAGUACCCCGCCUGGGGAGUACGGCCGCAAGGCUAAAACUCAAAGGAAUUGACGGGGGCCCGCACAAGCGGCGGAGCAUGUGGAUUAAUUCGAUGCAACGCGAAGAACCUUACCUGGGUUUGACAUGCACAGGACGUGCCUAGAGAUAGGUAUUCCCUUGUGGCCUGUGUGCAGGUGGUGCAUGGCUGUCGUCAGCUCGUGUCGUGAGAUGUUGGGUUAAGUCCCGCAACGAGCGCAACCCUUGUCUCAUGUUGCCAGCACGUGAUGGUGGGGACUCGUGAGAGACUGCCGGGGUCAACUCGGAGGAAGGUGGGGAUGACGUCAAGUCAUCAUGCCCCUUAUGUCCAGGGCUUCACACAUGCUACAAUGGCCGGUACAAAGGGCUGCGAUGCCGUGAGGUGGAGCGAAUCCUUUCAAAGCCGGUCUCAGUUCGGAUCGGGGUCUGCAACUCGACCCCGUGAAGUCGGAGUCGCUAGUAAUCGCAGAUCAGCAACGCUGCGGUGAAUACGUUCCCGGGCCUUGUACACACCGC
RNAcentral lists this ribosomal RNA (1352 nucleotides) under uncultured bacterium. Its description in RNAcentral is "bacterial SSU rRNA". It matches the Rfam family "Bacterial small subunit ribosomal RNA", at positions 28 to 1393 of the family's 1533-position model. The record is from RNAcentral.